AUGCACACCGACGUCAGAGGUGGCGAUCCCGGCCGAUUACGCCGGCGGUCGCUGAAACAGGGAAACAGGUCGAACGCCUGUGCUGCCCCCGCAACGGUAGGCGGUGACGCCGGCAUCAAUGCGCCACUGGUCCGGACAGCCCCGGGCCGGGAAGGCGAUGUCGGUAGACCGCGAGCCCGGAGACCGGCCUCUGACCGGCUUUCCCG
RNAcentral lists this non-coding RNA (206 nucleotides) under Guyparkeria sp. XI15. Lineage: Bacteria; Pseudomonadati; Pseudomonadota; Gammaproteobacteria; Chromatiales; Thioalkalibacteraceae. The record is from RNAcentral. RNAcentral also lists the same sequence under 1 other name.